UACGGGGGGAGCAAGCGUUGUUCGGAUUUACUGGGCGUAAAGGGCGCGUAGGCGGCCAGUGCAAGUCAGUUGUGAAAUCUCCGAGCUUAACUCGGAAAGGUCAACUGAUACUGCUCGGCUAGAGUGCGGAAGGGGCAACUGGAAUUCUUGGUGUAGCGGUGAAAUGCGUAGAUAUCAGGAGGAACACCGGUGGCGAAGGCGGCUCUCUGGACCACAACUGACGCUGAGGCGCGAAAGCUAGGGGAGCAAACAGG
RNAcentral lists this ribosomal RNA (254 nucleotides) under uncultured bacterium. RNAcentral describes it as "partial 16S ribosomal RNA". It matches the Rfam family "Bacterial small subunit ribosomal RNA", at positions 524 to 776 of the family's 1533-position model. The record is from RNAcentral.